This 497-nucleotide ribosomal RNA is filed under the name uncultured bacterium. Its description in RNAcentral is "partial 16S ribosomal RNA". It matches the Rfam family "Bacterial small subunit ribosomal RNA", at positions 28 to 507 of the family's 1533-position model. The record is from RNAcentral.
GAUGAACGCUGGCGGCGUGCCUAAUACAUGCAAGUCGAGCGAACGGACGAGAAUCUUGCUUCUCUGAUGUUAGCGGCGGACGGGUGAGUAACACGUGGAUACCCUACCUAUAAGACUGGGAUAACUUCGGGAAACCGGAGCUAAUACCGGAUAAUAUUUUGAACCGCAUGGUUCAACAGUGAAAGACGGUCUUGCUGUCACUUAUAGAUGGAUCCGCGCUGCAUUAGCUAGUUGGUAAGGUAACGGCUUACCAAGGCAACGAUGCAUAGCCGACCUGAGAGGGUGAUCGGCCACACUGGAACUGAGACACGGUCCAGACUCCUACGGGAGGCAGCAGUAGGGAAUCUUCCGCAAUGGGCGAAAGCCUGACGGAGCAACGCCGCGUGAGUGAUGAAGGUCUUCGGAUCGUAAAGCUCUGUUAGUAGGGAAGAACAUAUGUGUAAGUAACUGUGCACAUCUUGACGGUACCAAAACAGAAAGCCACGGCUAACUACGUG